Molecule: ribosomal RNA, 262 nt
Filed under: uncultured prokaryote
Description: partial 16S ribosomal RNA
Rfam family: Bacterial small subunit ribosomal RNA
Source: RNAcentral
AGAGUUUGAUCCUGGCUCAGAUUGAACGCUGGCGGCAUGCUUUACACAUGCAAGUCGAACGGCAGCACGGGGGCGAACCCUCGGUGGCGAGUGGCGAACGGGUGGAGUAAUGCAUCGGAACGUAAUCCUUGGGUGGGGGAGUAACGCAGCGAAAGUUAGUGCUAAUACCGCAUAAGACUCUGAGGAGGAAAGACGGGGGACCGGAAAGGACCUCGCGCUGAAGGAGCGGCCGACUGUCCGAUUAGCUAGUUGGUGAGGUAAA